UGCAAGUCGAGCGGUAGCACAGGGGAGCUUGCUCCCUGGGUGACGAGCGUUUUGACGGGUGAGUAAUGUCUGGGAAACUGCCUGAUGGAGGGGGAUAACUACUGGAAACGGUAGCUAAUACCGCAUAACGUCGCAAGACCAAAGAGGGGGACCUUCGGGCCUCUUGCCAUCAGAUGUGCCCAGAUGGGAUUAGCUAGUAGGUGGGGUAAUGGCUCACCUAGGCGACGAUCCCUAGCUGGUCUGAGAGGAUGACCAGCCACACUGGAACUGAGACACGGUCCAGACUCCUACGGGAGGCAGCAGUGGGGAAUAUUGCACAAUGGGCGCAAGCCUGAUGCAGCCAUGCCGCGUGUGUGAAGAAGGCCUUCGGGUUGUAAAGCACUUUCAGCGAGGAGGAAGGUGGUGAGCUUAAUACGCUCAUCAAUUGACGUUACUCGCAGAAGAAGCACCGGCUAACUCCGUGCCAGCAGCCGCGGUAAUACGGAGGGUGCAAGCGUUAAUCGGAAUUACUGGGCGUAAAGCGCACGCAGGCGGUUUGUUAAGUCAGAUGUGAAAUCCCCGGGCUCAACCUGGGAACUGCAUUUGAAACUGGCAAGCUAGAGUCUCGUAGAGGGGGGUAGAAUUCCAGGUGUAGCGGUGAAAUGCGUAGAGAUCUGGAGGAAUACCGGUGGCGAAGGCGGC
RNAcentral lists this ribosomal RNA (681 nucleotides) under uncultured bacterium. Its description in RNAcentral is "bacterial SSU rRNA". It matches the Rfam family "Bacterial small subunit ribosomal RNA", at positions 56 to 725 of the family's 1533-position model. The record is from RNAcentral.